GACUACGGCCAUGCCACCCUGAACAAGCCUGAUCCCGGUUGAUCUCAGAAGCUAAGCAGGAUUGGGCCUGGUUAGUACUUGGAUGGGAGACCACCUAGGAAGACCAGGUGCUAUAGGCG
Molecule: ribosomal RNA, 119 nt
Filed under: Pteropus alecto (black flying fox)
Lineage: Eukaryota; Metazoa; Chordata; Mammalia; Chiroptera; Pteropodidae
Source: RNAcentral